RNAcentral lists this ribosomal RNA (254 nucleotides) under uncultured bacterium. Its description in RNAcentral is "partial 16S ribosomal RNA". It matches the Rfam family "Bacterial small subunit ribosomal RNA", at positions 524 to 776 of the family's 1533-position model. The record is from RNAcentral.
UACGUAGGGGGCGAGCGUUGUCCGGAUUCAUUGGGCGUAAAGCGCUUUAAGGCGGUUCGGUAAGUCGGGUGUGAAACCUCCAGGCUCAACCUGGAGACGCCACUCGAUACUGCUGUGACUAGAGUUCGGUAGGGGAUCACGGAAUUCCUGGUGUAGCUGUGAAAUGCGCAGAUAUCAGGAGGAACACCGGUGGCGAAGGCGGUGAUCUGGGCCGACACUGACGCUGUAGAGCGAAAGCGUGGGGAGCGAACAGG